Molecule: ribosomal RNA, 250 nt
Filed under: uncultured bacterium
Lineage: Bacteria
Description: partial 16S ribosomal RNA
Rfam family: Bacterial small subunit ribosomal RNA
Source: RNAcentral
UACGAAGGACCCGAGCGUUAUCCGGAUUCAUUGGGUUUAAAGGGUGCGUAGGCGGAGUGAUAAGUCAGUGGUGAAAUCCUGCAGCUUAACUGCAGAACUGCCAUUGAUACUGUCAUUCUUGAAUGUAACUGAUGUGGGCGGAAUGUGCCAUGUAGUGGUGAAAUACUUAGAUAUGGCACAGAACACCGAUUGCGAAGGCAGCUCACAAAAUUAUUAUUGACGCUGAUGCACGAAAGCGUGGGGAUCAAAC